ACCUCUUCCCAUUCCGAACAGAGAAGUCAAGCCCGCCAGAGCCGAUGGUAUUGCCGUAACAGGUGGGAGAGUAGGUCGGUGCCUUUU
This 87-nucleotide ribosomal RNA is filed under the name Sphingobacterium sp. JUb20. Lineage: Bacteria; Pseudomonadati; Bacteroidota; Sphingobacteriia; Sphingobacteriales; Sphingobacteriaceae. RNAcentral also lists the same sequence under 1 other name. The record is from RNAcentral.